AGGACGAACGCUGGCGGCGUGCUUAACACAUGCAAGUCGAGCGGAAAGGCCUUUCGGGGUACUCGAGCGGCGAACGGGUGAGUAACACGUGAGUAAUCUGCCCAUCGCUUCAGGAUAGCCAUCGGAAACGGUGAUUAAUACUGGAUAUGACAUUCCUUCGCAUGUUGGGGUGUGGUAAAGUUUUUUCGGCGGUGGAUGUGCUCGCGGCCUAUCAGCUUGUUGGUGGGGUAAUGGCCUACCAAGGUCUUUGGACGGGUAGCCGGCCUGGAGAGGGGUCGACCGGGCCAACGACGUGGGACUGAGACACGGCCCAGACUCCGUACGGGAGGCAGCGAGGUAGGGAAUAGUUGGACUAAGUGGGACCGGAAGCCUGGACUACCGAGACCAACGCCGCGGUGGAGGAU
This 404-nucleotide ribosomal RNA is filed under the name uncultured soil bacterium. RNAcentral's name for it is "bacterial SSU rRNA". It matches the Rfam family "Bacterial small subunit ribosomal RNA", at positions 26 to 409 of the family's 1533-position model. The record is from RNAcentral.